GCUGGUAAAAAGGAACCAAAUCGACUUGGAACUGGAUUUGGUCCCCUUCAACCAGCUG
RNAcentral lists this microRNA precursor (58 nucleotides) under Sphenodon punctatus (tuatara). RNAcentral describes it as "Spt-Mir-133-P4_pre stem-loop". It matches the Rfam family "mir-133 microRNA precursor family", at positions 9 to 68 of the family's 74-position model. Rfam says of the family: mir-133 was first experimentally characterised in mouse and homologues have since been discovered in several other species. The mature sequence is excised from the 3' arm of the hairpin. Lineage: Eukaryota; Metazoa; Chordata; Lepidosauria; Sphenodontia; Sphenodontidae. The record is from RNAcentral.